This 515-nucleotide unclassified non-coding RNA is filed under the name Diplusodon kielmeyeroides var. microcalyx. RNAcentral describes it as "partial external transcribed spacer". The stretch from base 441 to 515 matches the Rfam family "Eukaryotic small subunit ribosomal RNA", at positions 1 to 75 of the family's 1831-position model. The record is from RNAcentral. Lineage: Eukaryota; Viridiplantae; Streptophyta; Magnoliopsida; Myrtales; Lythraceae.
CGCGGGCUGGCUCAGUUGUAACAAAUUCAAUCGAACGGCUCGCUUGGCAACUCCUCAUAUCAUGUCAUGUCCCUUGCGUGCACGCAAGGUGAAGCGUGAUGGUUUCCUGUGCAGCAUACCGUGGAUGUGGAAGUUGUUGUGCAUGCUAAAAAAGUAUAUUGCUCCCCCGAUUGCCUCGCAAGUGGUAGUCGGUGGACGAUGCCAGUGCUCCUCGAUGUCCUCACUCACCCGAGACUCUUUGCGAGCACGGUAGUGAUGGGCAUUCGGGUUCUCACUCAUCUCUCGGAUGCGGAACGUGUUAAUGGUGCGUGGUCCAACGACCUCUAUGUGCCCAAUCGAUGUUGCACCCCCGAUCGAAUGACGGUCAUGCCCCGUCACGACUGACCCCUAGCCCCGUGCUGGGGCAGCCAAGCGGCGGCAUUGACGUCGUCAAUGGAUGCUACCUGGUUGAUCCUGCCAGUAGUCAUAUGCUUGUCUCAAAGAUUAAGCCAUGCAUGUGUAAGUAUGAACUAAUU